CCUACGGGUGACAGCAGUGAGGAAUAUUGGUCAAUGGGCGGGAGACUGAACCAGCCAAGCAGCGUGAAGGAGGAAGGUACAACGGGUUGUAAACCUCUUUUAUAAAGGAAUAAAGAGAGGCACGUGUGCCCGUUUGAAUGUACCUGAAGAAUAAGGAUCGGCUAACUCCGGGCCAGCAGCCGCGGUAAUACGGAGGAUGCGAGCGUUAUCCGGAUUUAUUGGGGUUAAAGGGAGCGUAGAUGGGUUGUUAAGUCAGUUGUGAAAGUUUGCGGCUCAACCCUCAUAUUGCCGUUGAUACUGGCAGCCUUGAGUUCAGUUGAGGUAUGCGGCAUUCGUGGUGUAGCGG
RNAcentral lists this ribosomal RNA (346 nucleotides) under uncultured bacterium. Its description in RNAcentral is "partial 16S ribosomal RNA". It matches the Rfam family "Bacterial small subunit ribosomal RNA", at positions 338 to 681 of the family's 1533-position model. The record is from RNAcentral.